AACGCUGGCGGCAGGCCUAACACAUGCAAGUCGAGCGGUAGCACAGAGAGCUUGCUCUCGGGUGACGAGCGGCGGACGGGUGAGUAAUGUCUGGGAAACUGCCUGAUGGAGGGGGAUAACUACUGGAAACGGUAGCUAAUACCGCAUAAYGUCGCAAGACCAAAGUGGGGGACCUUCGGGCCUCAUGCCAUCAGAUGUGCCCAGAUGGGAUUAGCUAGUAGGUGGGGUAACGGCUCACCUAGGCGACGAUCCCUAGCUGGUCUGAGAGGAUGACCAGCCACACUGGAACUGAGACACGGUCCAGACUCCUACGGGAGGCAGCAGUGGGGAAUAUUGCACAAUGGGCGCAAGCCUGAUGCAGCCAUGCCGCGUGUGUGAAGAAGGCCUUCGGGUUGUAAAGCACUUUCAGCGGGGAGGAAGGCGKURAGGUUAAUAACCUURKCGAUUGACGUUACCCGCAGAAGAAGCACCGGCUAACUCCGUGCC
This 486-nucleotide ribosomal RNA is filed under the name Klebsiella pneumoniae. Its description in RNAcentral is "bacterial SSU rRNA". It matches the Rfam family "Bacterial small subunit ribosomal RNA", at positions 32 to 509 of the family's 1533-position model. Lineage: Bacteria; Pseudomonadati; Pseudomonadota; Gammaproteobacteria; Enterobacterales; Enterobacteriaceae. The record is from RNAcentral.